CCUCCGGUAACUUAGUGGUUAGAGUUCUGGUAUGGUAGACCGAAGGUGGUGGGUUUGAUUCCCACCUGUGGCA
This 73-nucleotide transfer RNA is filed under the name Lucilia cuprina (Australian sheep blowfly). It matches the Rfam family "tRNA". From Rfam's summary of the family: Transfer RNA (tRNA) molecules are approximately 80 nucleotides in length. Their secondary structure includes four short double-helical elements and three loops (D, anti-codon, and T loops). The record is from Rfam by way of RNAcentral. Lineage: Eukaryota; Metazoa; Arthropoda; Insecta; Diptera; Calliphoridae.